Molecule: transfer RNA, 72 nt
Filed under: Treubia lacunosa
Lineage: Eukaryota; Viridiplantae; Streptophyta; Haplomitriopsida; Treubiales; Treubiaceae
Also listed under: 2 other names
Description: tRNA-Gln
Rfam family: tRNA
About the family: Transfer RNA (tRNA) molecules are approximately 80 nucleotides in length. Their secondary structure includes four short double-helical elements and three loops (D, anti-codon, and T loops). Further hydrogen bonds mediate the characteristic L-shaped molecular structure. tRNAs have two regions of fundamental functional importance: the anti-codon, which is responsible for specific mRNA codon recognition, and the 3' end, to which the tRNAs corresponding amino acid is attached (by aminoacyl-tRNA synthetases). tRNAs cope with the degeneracy of the genetic code in two manners: having more than one tRNA (with a specific anti-codon) for a particular amino acid; and 'wobble' base-pairing, i.e. permitting non-standard base-pairing at the 3rd anti-codon position.
Source: RNAcentral
UGGAGUAUAGCCAAGUGGUAAGGCAUCGGCCUUUGAUGCCGGGAAACAAAGGUUCGAAUCCUUUUACUCCAG